RNAcentral lists this ribosomal RNA (88 nucleotides) under Salinivibrio sp. IB282. RNAcentral's name for it is "partial 16S ribosomal RNA". It matches the Rfam family "Bacterial small subunit ribosomal RNA", at positions 1 to 85 of the family's 1533-position model. Lineage: Bacteria; Pseudomonadati; Pseudomonadota; Gammaproteobacteria; Vibrionales; Vibrionaceae. The record is from RNAcentral.
ACUUAAAUUGAAGAGUUUGAUCAUGGCUCAGAUUGAACGCUGGCGGCAGGCCUAACACAUGCAAGUCGAGCGGAAACGGCAGCAUUGA